CGGAGGAAAAGAAACCAACAGGGAUUGCCUCAGUAGCGGCGAGUGAAGCGGCAAAAGCUCAAAUUUGAAAUCUGGCGUCUUUGGCGUCCGAGUUGUAAUUUGAAGAAGGUAUCUUUGGGCCCGGCUCUUGUCUAUGUUCCUUGGAACAGGACGUCACAGAGGGUGAGAAUCCCGUGCGAUGAGAUGACCCGGGUCUGUGUAAAGUUCCUUCGACGAGUCGAGUUGUUUGGGAAUGCAGCUCUAAGUGGGUGGUAAAUUCCAUCUAAAGCUAAAUAUUGGCGAGAGACCGAUAGCGAACAAGUACAGUGAUGGAAAGAUGAAAAGAACUUUGAAAAGAGAGUGAAAAAGUACGUGAAAUUGUUGAAAGGGAAGGGCUUGAGAUCAGACUUGGUAUUUUGCAUGCUGCUCUCUCGGGGGCGGCCGCUGCGGUUUACCGGGCCAGCAUCGGUUUGGAGCGGCAGGAUAAUGGCGGAGGAAUGUGGCACGGCUUCUGCUGUGUGUUAUAGCCUCUGACGAUACUGCCAGCCUAGACCGAGGACUG
RNAcentral lists this ribosomal RNA (541 nucleotides) under Candida albicans. Its description in RNAcentral is "LSU rRNA". It matches the Rfam family "Eukaryotic large subunit ribosomal RNA", at positions 51 to 568 of the family's 3401-position model. The record is from RNAcentral. Lineage: Eukaryota; Fungi; Ascomycota; Pichiomycetes; Serinales; Debaryomycetaceae.